GGAGGGAGGGGUGACUAGGGACAGAGUGAGGGAGGGAGAAGGUGAGUAGGGACAGAGUGAGGGGGGGAGGGGGUGACACUCUGUCCCUACUCACCCCCUGCCUCUCUCUGUCCCUAGUCACCCCAUCCCUCACUCACUCUGCCACUAGUCUCCCCCUUCCUCAC
This is a non-coding RNA of Pelobates cultripes (western spadefoot toad), 164 nucleotides long. NCBI's taxonomy places the organism in Eukaryota, Metazoa, Chordata, Amphibia, Anura, Pelobatidae. The record is from the annotation of a GenBank genome assembly.